GAUCAAUAUUUCGGUCAUGCCGUUGGUAUGCACUGUUAUCAUUGAUUUCUCACCUUCUAAAGAACCGUAAUGCCAUUAAUUUGGUGUUACGGGGAAUUAGGACUGUUACCUUGAAAAAUUAGAGUGUUUAAAGCAGGCUCACGCUUGAAUACAUUAGCAUGGAAUAGUGAAAUAGGACAUCCGAUUCUAUUUUGUUGGUUUCUAGGAUCGAUGUAAUGAUUAAUAGGGAUAGUUGGG
RNAcentral lists this ribosomal RNA (237 nucleotides) under uncultured Glomus. RNAcentral describes it as "partial 18S ribosomal RNA". It matches the Rfam family "Eukaryotic small subunit ribosomal RNA", at positions 667 to 886 of the family's 1831-position model. Lineage: Eukaryota; Fungi; Glomeromycota; Glomeromycetes; Glomerales; Glomeraceae. The record is from RNAcentral.